RNAcentral lists this transfer RNA (64 nucleotides) under Antarctonemertes valida. RNAcentral describes it as "tRNA-Tyr". Lineage: Eukaryota; Metazoa; Nemertea; Enopla; Monostilifera; Oerstediidae. The record is from RNAcentral.
CAAAAAAUGGCUGAAGUUUAGGCGAAAGGUUGUAAACUUUUUAAUGAGAAUUUCUCUUUUUUGA